This 713-nucleotide ribosomal RNA is filed under the name uncultured bacterium. RNAcentral describes it as "bacterial SSU rRNA". It matches the Rfam family "Bacterial small subunit ribosomal RNA", at positions 8 to 722 of the family's 1533-position model. The record is from RNAcentral.
AGAGUUUGAUCAUGGCUCAGGAUGAACGCUAGCGGAAGGCAUAAUACAUGCAAGUCGAGCGGUAGAAUAACUUCGGUUGUUUGAGAGCGGCGCACGGGUGAGUAACGCGUACAUGACCUACCUUUAAGAAGUGGAUAGCCCUGGGAAACUGGGAUUAAUACACUAUGUGAUAUGUGUUAUAGAUGAUGCAUAUUAAAGCUGAGGCGCUUAGAGAUGGAUGUGCGUCUGAUUAGCUAGUUGGUAGGGUAAAGGCCUACCAAGGCGACGAUCAGUAGGGGGCGUGAGAGCGUGAUCCCCCACACGGGUACUGAGACACGGACCCGACUCCUACGGGAGGCAGCAGUAAGGAAUAUUGGACAAUGGAGGGAACUCUGAUCCAGCCAUUCCGCGUGGAGGAAGAAUGCCCUAUGGGUUGUAAACUUCUUUUGGAUGGGAAUAAAAUGAUCCCUGCGGGGGUUACUGAAGGUACCAUCAGAAUAAGCACCGGCUAACUCCGUGCCAGCAGCCGCGGUAAUACGGAGGGUGCGAGCGUUAUCCGGAAUUACUGGGUUUAAAGGGUGCGUAGGCGGAGAUUUAAGUCUGGGGUGAAAUAUUGUCGCUUAACGAUAAGCUUGCCUUGGAUACUGGGUCUCUUGAAUUGGGAUGAGGAUGGCGGAAUGUGACAUGUAGCGGUGAAAUGCAUAGAUAUGUCAUAGAACACCAAUUGCGAAGGC